CAUAGGUAUUAAUAACAGGAGAAGGAGGCUCUGAUGCUCAAACUUGUCCCUGAAACUCAGCAAGACUUCUCAACUUCAAAUCCCCAGACCAGCUUCAUGGAUUUUAUUUAUGUAUUCACUUAUUUAUAUGAUUUCUGGUGCUGAGACACGGAUGAAAAAUUAGAACAUAAAUUCAUCAGCAAGACCUAGAGGAGAGCAAGAUUAAAAUUUGAACCCCUGAACUUCCAGGCACCUCCUGCCACAGAAAUAACAAGAUCAUCACUGAACUCCACAAACAAAGGGAGCUCUCUCUCCUCCCCCAACAGCUGGCGAAAAGGCAGGCCUGAGAAUACACAGGCUCAAGACAUCACUCAGAACAUCCCAAACCGAAACAAAAGCAAUGCACCAAACAACCAAAAACAAACAGAGGUGGGAUCAGAUUCCAGCAAGCCCUGUGGGACAGCGAGCUCAGACCGAGGAAUGGGGCUGACAUGCUGGGGAUUCACUAAAGAAAAGCAGGAGGCGUAGGAGGGAGUUGAGGCUGGUAUCGGAAGAAUGAAACGACCGACCCCUGUGAACCAGAUACCUUACAGAUGUCCUCUCAUUUCAUACUCACAACAGCCUUAUAAAAAAGCCUUUUUCCUGGGGCACGACUUCAGACAGUGCUGUUCUUCGCCUCAGAGUACUUUCCCUGCCUACACUUCUGACGGAUUCUUCAUGAAUUAUUCCUAAUUUCAAUGUGCCCUCUGAACACUGCUGGGACCCUCACUGACUGGCAUAGCAACAUGGGGCAG
Molecule: long non-coding RNA, 773 nt
Organism: Orcinus orca (killer whale)
Lineage: Eukaryota; Metazoa; Chordata; Mammalia; Artiodactyla; Delphinidae
Exons: 3
Source: RefSeq, a predicted model, not a curated record